This 1299-nucleotide ribosomal RNA is filed under the name Triticum aestivum (bread wheat). RNAcentral describes it as "partial small subunit ribosomal RNA". Lineage: Eukaryota; Viridiplantae; Streptophyta; Magnoliopsida; Poales; Poaceae. The record is from RNAcentral.
AUGCAGAUCCCCAUUUGGGGAGCAAAGCAAGCCCGCAGUUCAAUUUCCAUCCACUAUAAGUGGAGCGACUGGACGAAAUUCCGGGUUGAGCCUGCGGAGGACGAUAUCUCGAACUCCUCAGACCAGAUCCCCAUUUGGGGGGCGAAGCGAGCACGCAAUUCAACUUCCAUCCAAACCGAUUGGAGGGACUGGGCGAAUCUCGGGGAUGGGCCUGCUGGGCUAAUCGCCGAGCGCCUUCUCGCCAACGAUGUCGCGGACUACAUCUGCUUCCGUGCAGUUUGCCGUCCGUGGCGGCUCUGUUGCACCGAUCCGCGCACUCAUUGCAUCCUGGAGCGCCGCUUCCACCCACUUCACUGGAUUAUGCUCAGGGAAACGGGGGGCUCUCCACGCUGCCGCUUCAUGAAUAUGUCCACCGGAUGCUCAAGGUAUGUACAUCUGCCGGAGCUCUGUGGCCAUGACGUUUUCGGCCCUACCACGGAGGGCCUGCUCGUCCUCCUCGACAGGACCACCUGGGUGGUUCGCCUACUGAACCCGCUCACCCGCCAGGCAGUUGAUCUCCCACCUGCCACCGCUCUGAUGUCCAAGAGUGAUCUGAAGGAAGCGUCUUGCAGAAGGGAUUUGUUGCAGGUGUCGGGCGCUGGCCUUGCUGACGACUACAUCUUCGCGGUCCAUUUCAGAUGGAUCAAAACCCUUGCUGUCGUAAGGCCGGGGGAUGUGAAUUGGACAGUGGUUGCUCGUGGCAGAUGGUUGUUGCCAGCCCUGUCUUUUGCUGGCCGCUUCUACUGUGCCACCACCGAGGCUGUUAUGGUGGUGGAGACUAAUGCAGACCAGCCACCACGGCUGGUCAUCGCUGCAAACUUGACUAGGCCGUUUGCCACGAUAAUGAUGGACACUGUGCAUAUUGUGGACAAUGGCGGGGAGCUGAUACUUGUGGACCGGCAAUGCAAUGGCAAUGACAAUAGAAAAUACAAGGUGUACCGUGUAGACUUUGAAUCAAAGAAGAUGGUGCCCAUCCAUGGGCUUGGUGGACGUGCAGUAUUUAUCGGCAUUGAACGUGCCCUUUCAGUCUCACCUUUGGUGUUCCCAUCUAUCAGUGAAGAUGCAAUCUACUUGGGAUUUGAUGGGCAGACGACGGGCAAGCUGGACAAUAGCCCAAUUCAUCUCCUAUAUGGCAUUGCAGAGCCUCGUCAAUUUGAAGAUAACAUUGACGACAGCACACUUUAUGAACCCUUGGGUGUCGAUAGCUAUCUGUCUUGGUGUGUCACAGGUUAUCGGGACACCUUAAGGGACAUUGUCUGA